UACGGAGGAUGCGAGCGUUAUCCGGAUUUAUUGGGUUUAAAGGGUGCGUAGGCGGACUGUCAAGUCAGCGGUAAAAUUGAGAGGCUCAACCUCUUCCCGCCGUUGAAACUGGUGGUCUUGAGUGGAUGAGAAGUACGCGGAAUGCGUGGUGUAGCGGUGAAAUGCAUAGAUAUCACGCAAAACUCCGAUUGCGAAGGCAGCGUACCGGCAUCCAACUGACGCUGAGGCACGAAAGCGUGGGGAUCAAACAGG
This 252-nucleotide ribosomal RNA is filed under the name uncultured bacterium. RNAcentral describes it as "partial 16S ribosomal RNA". It matches the Rfam family "Bacterial small subunit ribosomal RNA", at positions 524 to 776 of the family's 1533-position model. The record is from RNAcentral.